Molecule: ribosomal RNA, 517 nt
Filed under: Aphanizomenon flos-aquae MDT14a
Lineage: Bacteria; Bacillati; Cyanobacteriota; Cyanophyceae; Nostocales; Aphanizomenonaceae
Description: bacterial SSU rRNA
Rfam family: Bacterial small subunit ribosomal RNA
Source: RNAcentral
AAAAUGACGGUACCUGAGGAAUAAGCAUCGGCUAACUCCGUGCCAGCAGCCGCGGUAAUACGGAGGAUGCAAGCGUUAUCCGGAAUGAUUGGGCGUAAAGGGUCCGCAGGUGGCAUUGUAAGUCUGCUGUUAAAGAGUUUGGCUCAACCAAAUAAGAGCAGUGGAAACUACAAAGCUAGAGUGUGGUCGGGGCAGAGGGAAUUCCUGGUGUAGCGGUGAAAUGCGUAGAUAUCAGGAAGAACACAAGUGGCGAAGGCGCUCUGCUAGGCCGAGACUGACACUGAGGGACGAAAGCUAGGGGAGCGAAUGGGAUUAGAUACCCCAGUAGUACUAGCAGUAAACGAUGGAUACUAGGCGGAGCUCGUAUCGACCCGAGCUGUGCCGGAGCUAACGCGUUAAGUAUCCCGCCUGGGGAGUACGCAGGCAACUGUGAAACUCAAAGGAAUUGACGGGGGCCCGCACAAGCGGUGGAGUAUGUGGUUUAAUUCGAUGCAACGCGAAGAACCUUACCAAGGCU